UCCAACGCGGCCCACAAUGAUACCCUCCUCCUUUCCUUUCUCCUCAGCUCUUCAAAUUCAACAAUCAUAAAUUAAUUUGGUUUUUCCAUCGCAGUAAUUGAUUGUUGAGUUUUAUAGUGAUGGAAAAGGAACCAGCAAAGCUACUGAUACUAUACGCUACUCAAACCGGAAACGCUUUGGAUGCGGCGGAGCGUAUUGGCCGCGAAGCCGAGCGACGAGGCUGCGCCGCCUCUGUACGCUCUAUCGACGAUUUUGAUGCUAGUUCUUUACCUCAUGAGGACACUGUAAUUUUUGUUGUUUCCACCACAGGUCAAGGAGAUACACCAGAUUCCAUGAAGUCGUUUUGGAAGUAUCUUCUGCAGAGAAAUAUUGCUAAGAAUUGGCUGGAAGGAGUUCAUUAUGCUGUUUUCGGAUUGGGUGAUUCUGGCUACCAGAAAUAUAAUUUUGUGGCAAAGAAGCUUGACAGAAGAAUUUCAGAUCUUGGGGCAACAGCUGUUGUUGAAAGAGGUUUAGGAGACGAUCAGCAUCCUUCAGGGUAUGAAGGUGCUUUGGAUCCUUGGAUGUCAUCCUUGUGGAGCAUGCUGUAUCAGAUUAACACUAAAUUCUUCCCAAAUGGUCCAGAUUUUGUGAUAUCAGAUACAAAACUCAUCAAUCAACCUAAAUUUCAAAUAACAUAUCAUGAAAUUGACAAGGUGGACUUACAAUCAUCUUCUGCUCCAGGUCUUGAUCAUGUGCAGAUGCAAACUGGUAGAGCUCGUUCCAUGUCUCCUGGAAAAGUUUCUCAUAUCAAGAAUAUUCCUGACUGUUUUCUUAAAAUGAUCAAGAAUCAACCAUUGUGUAGAGCUGGCUGUGGAAAAGAUGUGCGCCAUUUUGAAUUUGAGUUUGUUUCAUCUAUAAUUGAAUAUGGAGUUGGUGAUGUCCUGGAAGUUCUUCCUGGUCAAGAUCCUGCUGCAGUGGAUGCUUUCCUUCAGUGUUGUAAUUUGAAUCCUGAAUCUCUCAUCACUGUGCAUCCUAUAGGGAUGGAGAGUCGUCAUCGUGAUGCUGAAGGCAAUGACUACAAAGUCCCUAUAAAAUUGAAAACUUUCGUGGAAUUGACCAUGGAUAUUGCAUCAGCUUCCCCUAGGCGCUAUUUCUUUGAGGUUAUGAGUUAUUUUGCAACAGCCGAACAUGAAAAGGAGAGACUUCAAUAUUUCGCCUCUCCUGAAGGAAGAGAUGAUCUUUACCAGUACAACCAGAAGGAACGGAGAACUGUUCUAGAGGUACUGGAAGAUUUCCCUUCUGUGCAAAUGCCAUUUGAGUGGCUGGUGCAGUUGGUUCCUCCAUUGAAAACAAGGGCUUUCUCCAUUUCUUCUUCCCCUUCAGCUCACCCCAAUCAAGUGCACUUGACUGUGAAUGUAGUUUCAUGGACAACUCCUUUUAAGAGGAAGCGAACUGGUCUCUGCUCUACGUGGCUAGCUGGACUUGAUCCACAAGAUGGUAUGGGUGUAUAUAUUCCAGCAUGGUUUUGCAAAGGCUCCCUUCCUCCUCCACCACCAUCAAUUCCCCUUGUACUCGUUGGGCCUGGUACAGGCUGCGCUCCUUUUCGUGGAUUUGUAGAGGAAAGAGCCAUGCAAGACAUGUCCGGCUCAGCUGCUCCUGUUAUGUUGUUCUUUGGUUGUCGAAAUCAGGAGAAUGACUUCUUGUACAAGGAUUUUUGGUUGUCUCAUGCACAAAACAGUGGACCGCUAUCCAUAGCAAGGGGUGGAGGGUUUUAUGUAGCCUUCUCAAGAGAUCAACCACAAAAAGUUUAUGUGCAGCAUAAGAUGCGGGAACAGAGCCAGAGGGUUUGGAAUUUGUUAGUGGAGGGGGCUUCAAUAUACGUCUCUGGUUCAUCAACCAAAAUGCCUUCAGAUGUAAUGUCAGCCUUGGAGGAAAUUAUAUCCAAAGAGGCUGGAGUUUCGAGGGAAACUGCUGUUUUGCAGCUUAGGAGAUUGGAAAAGGAUGGUAGAUACCAUGUCGAAGCAUGGUCUUGACCCCUGCUGGGUUCUUGCAUCAUGGGACAAUUCCCCACUGCAAGGAACUAAACUAGCUUCUAGUUUGUAGUGCUACUGGGACUUCAAAUUGAUGUUGAGUCGUCAGCUCCAACUUUGGAAGUCAAAACUUGCAGAAUUUCAGGGCCAAAUAGAUUACAGGUUAGUUUACAACCAAAUAGCAGCAAGUUAAUGCACUAUAUUCUCCCCCUGUAUUCCAUUUCCAUUUCUAUGACAGGCAACGGAGCUUCCUUUUGAAUCUGAACUUGGAUUAGAAGAGCAUCCAGGGUGAGUUCUUUGUUUUUGAAUGCUUUCAAGUAAUGUUUCAAUUUAAAUUGAGGUUGGCCAACAUGGUGUGACAAUGUUCCAAACAACUUACCUCCACCAAUGUCUUUUCUGAAAGAAGGUUGGGCAUAAAUCGUAGUCACACCCAAUGAACUAAAGAUUUGAGUUUUUUUUUUGGCUAUUUACAAAUUUCUGUCCUUCUUAAGUUUGGUACGAAGGAUUGUGAUGAUGAGAUUGAUCAUGGAGUUGUGAAUUAUCUGAAUUUAAAUUGAUUCAAGAUGUUUUGGAAA
RNA transcript from Populus nigra (black poplar), 2584 nucleotides. It is a transcript of the gene named NADPH-dependent diflavin oxidoreductase 1, with no coding region annotated. The transcript has 13 exons. The record is from RefSeq and is a predicted model, not a curated record. Lineage: Eukaryota; Viridiplantae; Streptophyta; Magnoliopsida; Malpighiales; Salicaceae.